UUCUAAGGUUUUGUGCCUCUUUCAGGGAA
Molecule: non-coding RNA, 29 nt
Filed under: Rattus norvegicus (Norway rat)
Lineage: Eukaryota; Metazoa; Chordata; Mammalia; Rodentia; Muridae
Source: RNAcentral